GAGAAGUGUCGUCAGUUACUAUCAGUUGUAAGGACGAAGAAGAUGGUAGAAGAAAGUAGAAAUAAUUUCAUGAUGUAACCUUGAACAAAGAGCAGGUGUUUUAUUUUUUGUUUCUCUUCAUAUAUAGCAAAAAUAGAUAGGUCUUCGUCAUUCUUGUUGCCGGCAUCGCUGAGACUAGUUGGAAUCCGUAUGUGAUGACGAAGUUUUAUCAUCUCGUAAUUACAGAUACGCACAUGUACGUAUGUAGAAUUCUCAAAAUUAAGACAUUUCUUUGUCAUAUCAGCGAACGAGUGACCUGUUUCGUUCGGAAUUGUUAUUGUCAAGCGCAUGAUAUAAUACAUAAGACAGCGAAUGCUAUCUUAUUUAUAAUAUAAAUUAAGGAUAAAUAUAUGUAAAUAGGUCGGAAGAAAAUGGUAGGAUUUGAAAGACAAGAAAGGACAUUUUGUAAGAGCUUAUGUUGUUGUCAAAAGAAUAGCAUAUUACCGUUUAUAAGUUAUAAUACAUACUACGUAUAUUGGGUACUAUAUGUUAUAUGUAACAUACAUACAUAUUUUGUAUAUGUACAAUAAUACAUAAAAUUCUAUGAAUCUACGAAGUUGGAAACCCAGUGAAGGUCGUGUAUUAUAUUUUGCUGUUUUUCUUAUGUAGCCGAGGAAAUGAUAUCAGUAAUCGUUCUCGGAAAUUUGUUUUCGUGUACGAACUUAUGAGAGAUUUAUAGCAGGGAUGGGUAUAGAUGAUCUCUCUUUCUCAGAAUGAUACGAUACCUACUCGUAAUAACAUUCUCGGCUAUUCUUCUGUUGGAUUAUGAUUGCAGUUGUUCCAGCCAUAGAUGAAUCGAUCUUUGUUUCGAUAAAGUAAAAAAGUAAUUGUGAAGUAAAUUUGUUGUUAAUGUUUUUUAUUUAAUUUAAAUUUGUUUGCGUUUUAUGAUGUUAAAAAACUUAGAAAUAUGUGUGUAUAAAUAAUUUGGGUCCAAAGCAGUCAUAGAGUCAAUAUUUGUUCGUAUAAAAUUUUCUUUUUUUUUUUCUCUGCAAUCAGAUAUACUGUAGAUACUUAUAUAUAAAACAAGUAAUAGAUAUUCACGAAUUAAACUCAUUGUUUGCCUCUUAAUUAUUAAAUAAUUAUUGCGCAUUUGAGUCAGUGCAUCAUGGAAGAUGGUCAAGGACCUAUUACACUUCUGUAGAAGAAUAUUGAUUUGCAUUGUCAUUAAGUCAAUGUAUUACAAAUUCAAUCUAAUUCAUUUUCCAUCUACGUCGAUUUAUUUCAUUUUGGACCUAUUAUGGAACAGCUUACAUAAAUUUCGAGCUACAACUGGGCGAGUGUUUUGAAGGUAUCGUGGAUCUUCUUAAGCAGUGAGUGAACAAAUUUAAGUCCCUCCUCUAUAUAUUAUGUCGAGUAUGAAAGAUUUGACUUGACAUGAGUUACUGGUUGUAAUUUUUUGUAUUAAUUGUUGACGAAUAGCCAUUAAUAAUUAACUUUUUGCAUUUACCCUUGAAUGGUAUAGUUUUAGUUGUUUUUUUAUUGAGCAUAGUCUAGUUUCAUUAGCUUAGGAUAGUAUUUUCUUGUUUUAUUAAUGAGUCAUUUAAUUAAUACGAGUCAUGCAACAACUCUUUGCAGUGUGAUUUAAAUGCGAUUGGUUGUCAUAAUUGGUGACGAAGGCACUCACACGUUGGCUUCUGCAGCAUUUUGACUAUGCAUGUUUGAACGUGUGCCAAUUAUGUGGAUGUUAACGAAAUUAAUUAUUAUAAAAACCAUAAAAUCUGAUUAAUUUGAAUAAAUAUGUUUUUGCACAUGCAUUUAAACGUUAUAAUAUAAUCAAACAUAUCAUAAUCUCUUCUUUAGAUGCAAUAAUCGAGAACAAUUCAUCCAGUAAAAUGAAAUAAUUUUUAGCCCAGAAAUACUAGUAACAUUUUAUUUCAAUUUGUGAAGAAACGCUUAUUUUUAAUUUCUAUCAUUUAAAAAAAAUUAAUAAUCGUAUGAUAUCUUUGCAGCAUGGUACAUCUAACACAAUUUGGCAUCUUUUGUAUUUCCAUGUUGUUUCAAUGCAUUUGUUAUAUUUUUCACUAAUUUU
This is a long non-coding RNA of Vespa velutina, 2068 nucleotides long. RefSeq lists it as uncharacterized. NCBI's taxonomy places the organism in Eukaryota, Metazoa, Arthropoda, Insecta, Hymenoptera, Vespidae. The record is from RefSeq and is a predicted model, not a curated record. The transcript is spliced from 6 exons.